Non-coding RNA from Parasteatoda tepidariorum (common house spider), 3648 nucleotides. The record is from RefSeq and is a predicted model, not a curated record. Lineage: Eukaryota; Metazoa; Arthropoda; Arachnida; Araneae; Theridiidae.
UAUACUUUUCAUAAAUUUAGAAAUUGAGAUAUAUACUUCAAUAAAUAAAAUAUUAGUCUCAGAUUAAAAAAUUAAGAUGCAGCAGUGAUUCGCAAACUUUUAAAGUGUGCAAAAUUAGUUAUUGAGCGUCUAUAUGCUUCAUUUUAAAACAAUUUAAUGAAGCUUAAUUAUCAAAUCGUAUCAAAUUAUUUGAAAUGAAAAUAAUUUAUUAUUAAUUUAUUUAAUAAAUUUUAAAUAUAUAAAAUUUUUAUAUCAUAAUCAGCAAAAUGAAUAUUUAGUAAUCAGCAACAGCGAUAUACGAAAUUUUUAUUGUGAAUUCAACAGAUUAAUUGUAAAUUAAUUUUGUGUAUCACCCAUUAAUAACUUUUGCUAAUAUUUUGUAAAACCGUCUCAUUUUAAGAUUUUAGUCUCAAAAAAGUAAAGUGUAAUAUAAAAGAUGUUCCAUAUUCACCCCCCUUAAAAAAGUUUUUUUUUUUUUUCAAUUCUUGUCAAAAAUGAAGUCAUUCAAAUCUACACUUUAGGGGUCGCAAAUCUACAUUUAAAUAUCAAAAGAAUAAAAAAGCUAUCAGUAUCUGAGGAAUUAUCAACCAUUUCAAUCUCAGUAAACUUAAGAUAAUAAUCAUCAAAACCACUUAUUAAUAGGAUGAAACUAAAAGACUGGCAUUUGAAUGGCAGCAAAUUUUAAAUAGAAAGCUCGAAGAAGUUAGUGAAAAAAAUGGUAAAAGAAUUUCUUUUAAAAUCUAAUUUAAAAUUAUUUAUAUUCAAAAUUAAUUAACAACGAAAAUAUAUAACAUCUUUCUCAACCCACACGGUUAUAUCCACUAACGGUGCUUUCUGAUAUUGCAAAUUAACUGCUGGUUUGCCGUAAGUUACGGGUAACCAACAUUUUUUGGAAGAGAGCUAUUGUCGGAAGAAAAUAUAUACAUGCCCUUUACAACUUUUAUACGCUUAUAGCACAUUUUAUUUAUGUAAGUCUGAAUAGUAGAAAUUUAAAAAAAGUAAUAUAAAUUAAAUAAAAAUGUAAACUUCAGAAAUAUUUUCAAUAAACAUUUUUAAAUGCUCAGUCAGCGUGAAUAUAAAUAAGAAUAGUAAAACUUGAAUUAUUUAAUCAACUAAACUGAACUACUACUACUAAAUUCAGUGGAGCGACAGCCCAUAGAGGGAAAAGGCCUACUGUGCCUGUCUCAGUUUUCUUGACCUUGGGCUCUGGGGAUCAGGAGCAGAUGCUCCAGUUAGGAAUUAUUUAAUCUAAAUAAUAAUUAAUCAUUUAAAAUUAAUAUAUAAAUUUUGAAUUUGGUUAUUUUUUCGGCAAAUUCUUUAAGAAAUAGUUUGAUUUUAUUAUGUCCAUGAUAGAAAAAAUAGGUCACGAUUAUUGGUCGAUCCAGACCUACAAUAAUAUUCUACAGCGAAAUCGUAUAAGCCAAAUUCGUACAGCCCAAUCGUGUAAAACAGAGACAAAUUUUGCAGGCUUGGUAAAAAAUUAUUUAUAAAAUUGAGUCGCAGUGUUGCUACCAGUUUCGACUAAAAUCUUGGAGGUGAAAUUAUUGCUUCUUUUGCUUCCAAUUUCACGUGCCACUGUGCCAUGGCACACCGUGGCACGCAUCUACAAGUGGCUCAUCGAUGCAGUAAGGUAUAAGUUCUAAUAACUCCGUUUUUAACAAGAAUUCUAUAGAAAUAUAUUAAAAGUGAUGAUUAUAAAGCAUCUUAUAUAAUAUAUUUUGCAUAUUUUUGGUUCAGAAUGCCCAAUUUUAAUUUCGACUAAAGUGAAUUUUUCUUUAAACUUUGAAAUGUACUUAAAUGUCUGUGAUGAAUUUGCUAAAAUAACUUUGAUAGAAUCUAUUAUUGGUGAAAUAGAAUAGAAAGUAACUUGUGUACAGAUAACUUUUUAUUCUUUAUUAAAAGGCUUUUUAGUUUUAUUUAUUACUUUUUUGAACUAGUGCUGUUUUUAUUACUUUUUAACAAAAGUUGAUGUAAUAAAAAAAAAAUUUUAAUUUUAAAUCUGAGUAUUAGAAAACUUAAUAAAAGGAAAGCGACCCAAAUAUGGGCCCCUAUGUAUUUUUUUUUUCAUUAUUCUAUUUUUUGUAGAAGACAAAAAGUUGAAAAUUGUUUAAUGUAUUUUUCUUGCCAAAGAAAAUCUUUAGUCCUUAUUCUGAAUCUUGACAUCAUUGACCUACAAAAUAUAGAAUUUUUUUUUUCUUCUAAGGCCAAAACACUCUUCCUUCACCCAAACGCAGCACACAUUGCACACAACCAUGUCUUAGUGUUUUUCUAGAAAAAACUGAACACAAUAGCACAAAAACAAGACUCUUUAGAACUGCAACAGUUAUUACUUAUGUCAUUGGGUUUAGACUUGGCAGCUGGUUUCGACACGGCAGCUAGUUUGAACAUUUUUGAACUUUAACAGCUAUUACUUAUGUCAUGGGUUUAGACUUGGCAGCUGGUUUCGACACGGCAGCUAGUUUGAACAGUUUGUACUUCAACAGUUAUUACUUAUGUCAUUGAGUUUACACUUGGCAGCUGGUUUCGACACGGCAGCUAGUUUGAACAGUUUGUACUUCAACAGCUAUUACAUAUGUCAUUGGGUUUAGAUUUAGCAGCUGGUUUCGACACGGAAGCUAGUUUGAACAGUUUAUUCUUCAACAGUUAUUACUUAUGUCAUAGGCUUAGACUUGGCAGCUGGUUUCGACACGGCAACUAGUUUGAACAUGGCAGCUGAUUUCGAUAUGGCAGCUAUUUUCAACUUGGGAAGUGGUUUAAACGGGUAGUGGUUUCAAAUCAGUCAGCUAGUUUCAAUAUGGCAGCUAAUUUCAAUAUGGCAGCUGGUUUCAAUAAGGCAACAGGUUUCUCACAGUAACCAAAUUAGGAAUCCUUUUAGUGCCCAUAACAGGUCCGAUGACCAUUUUUACUUUAUUGAAAAUAGUUGUACAUGGUUACAAAUUCAAAAUUCGUGACAAGACUAUUUAGAAGAUAAAGAAUUCACCUUAGUUCUCCCAAUAAUGUUUAAUGGUCAAGACAAGAGCUUUUUUAGUAAAAAAGACAUACUUAUAUUUUAAAUUUCGAAGAACAAAGUUUACUACCAACAAAAUAUUUUUGUUGCUUUGCUACGUAGUAUUUAAUUGCAAAAACGGAAGACUCAUGUUACUACUUCAGCUUAUUUGCAUUGCUUAAAGCGUAUUUACUGCCAUCUACAUUCAAAACAAGCAAUUAAACAUACUUUACAGUAGUGAUCAUAUUAGAUGCACUGCCCAUAUUUGGGUUACUUAACUUAAUUCAUUUUAAUUCCUUGAUGCUUUCUAAUAAAUGCAUAUUUUUUUCGUAUUGUGAUAAUUGUAUUCAUUUAUUAUUGGAACUGUGUUCCCCUUCUCUAAAGUUUUAUCUCUUAUGGGCUCAAAUUUGUGCCAAAUUUAAGCCUCUGAACAAUUAAUACAAUUGUUUAAACAAAGUUGUAUUUAAAUAAGUCUUUAUUUAUGUUAAAAACAAUAUUUAAAUAUUUUUCGACAAUAUCCUUUGAGAUGAUUUAGAUUGUGUGACAAAUGACUUUUAAUUGUCUUGAUGUCUUCUGCUAAUUAUCUGUAUGAAAUGUAAUCGAUAAAUUUUUUUAUGUUUAUUAGGCAUGAUGCUUAUUAAUAAACAUAAAAAUAAAACCAA